CAGAGAUGAGAAUGUGCCUUCGGGAACCGUGAGACAGGUGCUGCAUGGCUGUCGUCAGCUCGUGUUGUGAAAUGUUGGGUUAAGUCCCGCAACGAGCGCAACCCUUAUCCUUUGUUGCCAGCGGUCCGGCCGGGAACUCAAAGGAGACUGCCAGUGAUAAACUGGAGGAAGGUGGGGAUGACGUCAAGUCAUCAUGGCCCUUACGACCAGGGCUACACACGUGCUACAAUGGCGCAUACAAAGAGAAGCGACCUCGCGAGAGCAAGCGGACCUCAUAAAGUGCGUCGUAGUCCGGAUUGGAGUCUGCAACUCGACUCCAUGAAGUCGGAAUCGCUAGUAAUCGUGGAUCAGAAUGCCACGGUGAAUACGUUCCCGGGCCUUGUACACACCGCCCGUCACACCAUGGGAGUGGGUUGCAAAAGAAGUAGGUAGCUUAACCUUCGGGAGGGCGCUUACCACUUUGUGAUUCAUGACUGGGGUGAAGUCGUAACAAGGUAACCGUAGGGGAACCUGC
This 514-nucleotide ribosomal RNA is filed under the name Salmonella enterica. RNAcentral's name for it is "bacterial SSU rRNA". It matches the Rfam family "Bacterial small subunit ribosomal RNA", at positions 1001 to 1515 of the family's 1533-position model. Lineage: Bacteria; Pseudomonadati; Pseudomonadota; Gammaproteobacteria; Enterobacterales; Enterobacteriaceae. RNAcentral also lists the same sequence under 1 other name. The record is from RNAcentral.